GGUUCCUUAGCACAGUGGUAGUGCUUUGUACUUAUGGGAUAACUUGAAUGCAAAGGUCGCGAGUUCAAUCCUCGCAGGAACCA
Molecule: non-coding RNA, 83 nt
Organism: Cantharellus anzutake
Lineage: Eukaryota; Fungi; Basidiomycota; Agaricomycetes; Cantharellales; Hydnaceae
Source: the annotation of a RefSeq genome assembly